Long non-coding RNA from Thunnus maccoyii (southern bluefin tuna), 914 nucleotides. RefSeq lists it as uncharacterized. NCBI's taxonomy places the organism in Eukaryota, Metazoa, Chordata, Actinopteri, Scombriformes, Scombridae. The transcript has 3 exons. The record is from RefSeq and is a predicted model, not a curated record.
CCAAACAGUAUGAGGUUGUUUUUCUCCUGCAGUCUUAAAGAAUACAGCUUGAUUGUGCCUGUAGAGAAACAUUUCAAUUCAACGCAAGUAUCUGACGGGUUUAGAAAAAGUAAGACUACUUUUUUUUGAAGAUGAAGGAGACUGUGAAGACUUAUUUAUUCUUUUUGCUGUUUGAAAAAUGCACCACUCAUACCAAACAGACAGAAACUAUCUAUUCAUUUCAAUUUUAUUUGCAUUUUACAACUGAGAACAAUGUAUUCUGUGAUGUACAGAACAUAUUUCCUAUGAAUUUCAUCUACAUGUACAGAUAAAUAAUAUCUUGGAUUUUUUUUUCUGUUUUGAGCACUGCUCAGAACAUAAUAAAAGUGUAUAUGAAAAAGUAUUGUUGCAGUAUGUCAAGAGUAUUAUGUAAAUGAGGAGCUGCAGAAGAAAACAUGACAGUGAAGAGGCGUUGGCAGUAAGUAUUAAGAGAGGCGGUGUGUUGUGUUUGUGCUUUCAGAUAAUGCAGCCAUUAUCAGAUCCAGAGAUGUAUUAGAGCCAUCAGAAAAGAAAAGACAGAGGAAUAAAGAAAAAAGUAAGAGAGGAAGAUGAAGAGAGGGCGGCGAUCUGCAGUGGGCCGCUGAGGAAGCUCCAGGGUCGGUUUGGAAGCACAGCGAGAAGCCGCCCUCUCAACAAGGUUUCGGAUUGAUUGCUGUGUUAUCAUACGGCCAGCUGAAGCCAACUAAAAGGAAACACCACUCCAGUAAGAAAUAACUGCUCUAUUCAAACAAGAGCCUUUUCACAGUUGGACCAUUUGACUUGGGUCUGAACCCAAAAUCAUUUCAGGGUGUUUUUCACCCUCACAGGGUUGCUUUCACUCACAUGAAAAUUCUACCAAACCUCAAAUUGUUUGCGAUUGGCAGCAUUACUCUUUG